Molecule: ribosomal RNA, 446 nt
Filed under: uncultured bacterium
Lineage: Bacteria
Description: partial 16S ribosomal RNA
Rfam family: Bacterial small subunit ribosomal RNA
Source: RNAcentral
CCUACGGGGGGCAGCAGUCGAGAAUCAUUCACAAUGGGGGAAACCCUGAUGGUGCGACGCCGCGUGGGGGAAUGAAGGUCUUCGGAUGGUAAACCCCUGUCAUGUAGGAGCAAAUUAAAAAGAUAGUACCACAAGAGGAAGAGACGGCUAACUCUGUGCCAGCAGCCGCGGUAAUACAGAGGUCUCAAGCGUUGUUCGAAUUGACUGGGCGUAAAGCGUGCGGAGGCUGUUUCGUAAGUCGUGUGUGAAAGGCGCGGGCUCAACCCGCGGACGGUACAGGAUACUGCGGGACUAGAGUAAUGGAGGGGGUACCGGAAUUCGCGGUGUAGCAGUGAAAUGCGUAGAUAUCGAGAGGAACACUCGUGGCGAAGGCGGGUUCCUGGACAUUAACUGACGCUGAGGCACGAAGGCCAGGGGAGCGAAAGGGAUUAGAUACCCUAGUAGUC